AAGUCGUAACAAGGUCUCCGUAGGUGAACCUGCGGAGGGAUCAUUAACACGUAUCCAAACACGUUUAAAACCAAACCCUUCGUGCUCUUCUGAUUUGUCCCAUAUUAAAUUGGUGUACAUGCAAGCCAACACAAGACAAGGUAGAUUCAAGAGUCGAAAGGCUCUUGUCUGCUUGCAGUACUAUUAGUCCCCGAGGCUAAGAUCGAUUUAGUAUGGUGUAACACCUGAAAGUGCUACCUUGGUUAUCAGUGCCACCCCGGUAUCGACCCGGAGCCUGAUAGCCGUAUUAAUCCCUAUUUUUUAAACCCCUUUUUAUUUAAAAAACUGAUUCUUGAAUAUUGUGCUGUAAUGGCGCAAUAUUUGCAUACGAAAUAUGCAGAACAACUCUUAGCAACGGAUAUCUUGGUUCUC
Molecule: unclassified non-coding RNA, 411 nt
Filed under: fungal sp.
Lineage: Eukaryota; Fungi
Description: partial internal transcribed spacer region
Rfam family: Eukaryotic small subunit ribosomal RNA (bases 1-46)
Source: RNAcentral